GUGGCUGUGUUGGUUUUUUAUUUAAUAUUAUGUUUCAUUGUAGUAUUUCCUGGCAACUCUUCAGGUGUGGCAUUCUAAGCUUGAUUCUGAAUCUGCAAACUCUGAUCUUCUUGAGCAGCUCCAUCGUGUAAAGGUCCGGAGGGGAAGCUUUUCCUCACACCUUGAUGUGGAUGAGAUCUAUGCUUCAACUACACUCAAGACAGGGUGGAAACGUAGCUGGCCAGAGCCUCCACCACCUCAGCCCUUUCCCUCAAAUUACAAACUUGUCCUUGCUGCAGAUCUCUGUGCAGAGCUGGAGGCUGUCCGUCAGGUAGAUGAAUUUCAGCUCCUGGCAGAAGCAGGUUGGCACAUCGAUGCCUUGCCAUUCCUCACAGCCGUCCUGAGGCACAAGGCCCAACUUCCUUGAGGGUUUAUCUCUGCCUGCAAAGGACCGGACACGCGGCACCGUACGUUAAAGUUCAGCAGUCCUUGGGUCUGGGGAGGUUUGUUCACCACCUCGUCUCUUCUCGUCCUCGUCCACCGUCUGCAAAAACAUUGCACAGUGACCACGGGGAGAAAUGGUGAUGGGAGAAGUGAGAGGAAGGCAAGGAGAGAAAGCAAGAAGGAAGAACUAGAAGGAGAUGGAGAGAGGAGGGUCGCAGUGGUGUCCUGUGGCAGCCUCUUUUCCAGAGGCCUUGCUUGUGCUGCGUGAACCCAAGGAGACACUCCAUGCGUGCAGUGCAGCCCAGGCAAGCAAACAGGUUGGACAGCCACGGCCUCGGCUGUGCAGAGGGAAGCGCCGUGCUGCAGCAGGAGCAGAGGCCGGGAGCGGCGGUGCCUGCUGAGCGCUGCAGGGACGUCCCCGACUGAAGGACAGC
This 857-nucleotide long non-coding RNA is filed under the name Numida meleagris (helmeted guineafowl). RNAcentral describes it as "lncRNA (ENSNMEG00000001371.1)". Lineage: Eukaryota; Metazoa; Chordata; Aves; Galliformes; Numididae. The record is from RNAcentral.